UACGGAGGAUGCAAGCGUUAUCCGGAAUGAUUGGGCGUAAAGCGUCCGCAGGUGGCUGUGUAAGUCUGCUGUCAAAGAGCAAAGCUCAACUUUGUAAAGGCAGUGGAAACUACACGGCUAGAGUGCGUUCGGGGCAGAGGGAAUUCCUGGUGUAGCGGUGAAAUGCGUAGAGAUCAGGAAGAACACCAGUGGCGAAGGCGCUCUGCUAGGCCGCAACUGACACUGAGGGACGAAAGCUAGGGGAGCGAAUGGG
This 253-nucleotide ribosomal RNA is filed under the name uncultured bacterium. Its description in RNAcentral is "partial 16S ribosomal RNA". It matches the Rfam family "Bacterial small subunit ribosomal RNA", at positions 524 to 776 of the family's 1533-position model. The record is from RNAcentral.